UCAGUCGAGAGGGAAACAGCCCAGAGCAUCGACUAAGGCCCCUAAGCGUACGCUAAGUGGGAAAGGAUGUGGAGUCGCAGAGACAACCAGGAGGUUGGCUUAGAAGCAGCCACCCUUGAAAGAGUGCGUAAUAGCUCACUGGUCUAGUGAUUCCGCGCCGACAAUGUAGCGGGGCUCAAGCGUACCGCCGAAGUCGUGUCAUUGCAGCAAUACUCCCAACGGAGGCUGUGAUGGGUAGGGGAGCGUCGUGUGCCGGGUGAAGCCGCGCCGGAAGGCAGUGGUGGACGGUUCACGAGUGAGAAUGCAGGCAUGAGUAGCGAUACACACGUGAGAAACGUGUGCGCCGAUUGACUAAGGGUUCCUGGGUCAAGCUGAUCUGCCCAGGGUAAGUCGGGACCUAAGGCGAGGCCGACAGGCGUAGUCGAUGGAUAACCGGUUGAUAUUCCGGUACCCGCUGUGAAGCGUCAAACAUCGAACCAGGCGAUGCUAAGUCCGUGAAGCCGCCCCGGAGCCUUCGGGCAAAGGGGAGUGGUGGAGCCGACGGACCAGACCUGUAGUAGGUGAGUGAUGGGGUGACGCAGGAAGGUAGUCCAUCCCGGGCGGUGGUUGUCCCGGGGUAAGGGUGUAGGMCGUCWGRUAGGUAAAUCCGYCWSRCAYWWAGUCUGAGACCUGAUGCCGAGCCGAUUGUGGUGAAGUGGAUGAUCCUAUGCUGUCGAGAAAAGCCUCUAGCGAGUUUCAUGGCGGCCCGUACCCUAAACCGACUCAGGUGGUCAGGUAGAGAAUACCGAGGCGUUCGGGUGAACUAUGGUUAAGGAACUCGGCAAAAUGCCCCCGUAACUUCGGGAGAAGGGGGGCCAUCACCGGUGAUGAGUCUUGCACUCUGAGCUGGGGGUGGCCGCAGAGACCAGCGAGAAGCGACUGUUUACUAAAAACACAGGUCCGUGCGAAGCCGUAAGGCGAUGUAUACGGACUGACGCCUGCCCGGUGCUGGAACGUA
Molecule: ribosomal RNA, 997 nt
Filed under: Streptomyces mirabilis
Lineage: Bacteria; Bacillati; Actinomycetota; Actinomycetes; Kitasatosporales; Streptomycetaceae
Description: partial 23S ribosomal RNA
Source: RNAcentral